AGCCUUAUAGUCAAAAUAUGAUUUUAAAUUGCAAGUUUAAAGUUGGCUGUGUGCCUAAGGCUU
This 63-nucleotide transfer RNA is filed under the name Dacrila fallax. Its description in RNAcentral is "tRNA-Cys". The record is from RNAcentral. Lineage: Eukaryota; Metazoa; Arthropoda; Insecta; Coleoptera; Staphylinidae.